This 419-nucleotide ribosomal RNA is filed under the name uncultured Glomeraceae. RNAcentral's name for it is "SSU rRNA". It matches the Rfam family "Eukaryotic small subunit ribosomal RNA", at positions 459 to 886 of the family's 1831-position model. Lineage: Eukaryota; Fungi; Glomeromycota; Glomeromycetes; Glomerales; Glomeraceae. The record is from RNAcentral.
GGGAGGUAGUGACAAUAAAUAACAAUACGGGGUUCUUCGAAUCUCGUAAUUGGAAUGAGUACAAUUUAAAUCUCUUAACGAGGAACAAUUGGAGGGCAAGUCUGGUGCCAGCAGCCGCGGUAAUUCCAGCUCCAAUAGCGUAUAUUAAAGUUGUUGCAGUUAAAAAGCUCGUAGUUGAAUUUCGGGGUUAGCAGGUCGGUCGUGCCAAUGGUAUGCACUGGCUCGCUGACUCCUCCUUCUUGUAGAACCGUAAUGCCAUUAAUUUGGUGUUGCGGGGAAACAGGACUGUUACUUUGAAAAAUUAGAGUGUUUAAAGCAGGCUAACGCUUGAAUACAUUAGCAUGGAAUAAUGAAAUAGGACGACGAUCCUAUUUUGUUGGUUUCUAGGAUUGACGUAAUGAUUAAUAGGGAUAGUUGGG